CGCAAGUCUGAACCAGCCAUGCCGCGUGGAGGAUGAAGGUCCUCUGGAUUGUAAACUUCUUUUAUCUGGGACGAAAACGGGAUUUUUAUCUCAAUUGACGGUACCAGAGGAAUAAGCACCGGCUAACUCCGUGCCAGCAGCCGCGGUAAUACGGAGGGUGCGAGCGUUAUCCGGAUUUACUGGGUUUAAAGGGUGCGUAGGUGGGCUUAUAAGUCAGUGGUGAAAUCUCCGAGCUUAACUUGGAAACUGCCUUUGAUACUAUAGGUCGUGAAUUAUCUGGAGGUAAGCGGAAUAUGUCAUGUUGCGGUGAAAGGCUUAGAUAUGACAUAGAACACCAAUUGCGAAGGCAGCUUACUACAUAUAAAUUGACGCUGAGGCACGAACGCGUGGGGAUCAAA
Molecule: ribosomal RNA, 398 nt
Filed under: uncultured bacterium
Lineage: Bacteria
Description: bacterial SSU rRNA
Rfam family: Bacterial small subunit ribosomal RNA
Source: RNAcentral